Molecule: ribosomal RNA, 253 nt
Filed under: uncultured bacterium
Lineage: Bacteria
Description: partial 16S ribosomal RNA
Rfam family: Bacterial small subunit ribosomal RNA
Source: RNAcentral
UACGAAGGGUGCAAGCGUUACUCGGAAUUACUGGGCGUAAAGCGUGCGUAGGUGGUUCGUUAAGUCUGUCGUGAUAGCCCCGGGCUCAACCUGGGAAUGGCGAUGGAUACUGGCGGGCUAGAGUGCGGUAGAGGAGAGUGGAAUUCCCGGUGUAGCAGUGAAAUGCGUAGAGAUCGGGAGGAACAUCAGUUGCGAAGGCGGCUCUCUGGACCAGCACUGACACUGAGGCGCGAAAGCGUGGGGAGCAAACAGG